GAUGAACGCUGGCGGCGUGCUUAACACAUGCAAGUCGAACGGAAAGGCCCAAUCUUGCUUGGGUACUCGAGUGGCGAACGGGUGAGUAACACGUGGGUGGUCUGCCCUGCACUUCGGGAUAAGCCUGGGAAACUGGGUCUAAUACCGUAUAGGACCACAUCUUGGAUGGGGUGGGGGAAAGUUUUUCGGUGUGGGAUGAGCUCGCGGCCUAUCAGCUUGUUGGUGGGGUAAUGGCCUACCAAGGCGUCGACGGGUAGCCGGCCUGGGAGGGUGGACGGCCAAAUUGGGACUGGGAUACGGCCCAGACUCCUACGGGAGGGAGGAGUGGGGAAGAUUGCACAAUGGGGGGAAGGCUGAUGCAGCGAAGGCGCGUGGGGGGUGGCGGGCUUCGGGUUGGAAACUCCUUUCGCUAGGGACGAAGCGUUUUUGUGACGGUACCUGGAGAAGAAGCACCGGCUAACUACGUG
Molecule: ribosomal RNA, 467 nt
Filed under: uncultured bacterium
Lineage: Bacteria
Description: partial 16S ribosomal RNA
Rfam family: Bacterial small subunit ribosomal RNA
Source: RNAcentral